AGCAGCCGCGGUAAUUCCAGCUCCAAUAGCGUAUAUUAAAGUUGUUGCAGUUAAAAAGCUCGUAGUUGAAUUUCGGGACUAAUAUGUCGGUCGUACUUUGUACGUACUAGCAUUAUUGGUUUCUCCCUUCUGACGAACCACGAUGUCAUUAAUUUGGUGUCUUGGGAAAUCAGGACUGUUACUUUGAAAAAAUUAGAGUGUUUAAAGCAGGCUCACGCUUGAAUACAUUAGCAUGGAAUAAUGAAAUAGGACGUUUGAUUCUAUUUUGUUGGUUUCUAGGAUCGACGUAAUGAUUAAUAGGGAUAGUUGGGGGCAUUAGUAUUCAAUUGUCAGAGGUGAAAUUCUUGGAUUUAUUGAAGACUAACUACUGCGAAAGCAUUUGCCAAGGAUGUUUUCAUUAAUCAAGAACGAAAGUUAGGGGAUCGAAGACGAUCAGAUACCGUCGUAGUCUUAACCAUAAACUAUAGCCGACUAGGGAUCGGAUGAUGUUAAUUUUUAAUGACUCAUUCGGCGCCUUACG
Molecule: ribosomal RNA, 520 nt
Filed under: uncultured Glomus
Lineage: Eukaryota; Fungi; Glomeromycota; Glomeromycetes; Glomerales; Glomeraceae
Description: SSU rRNA
Rfam family: Eukaryotic small subunit ribosomal RNA
Source: RNAcentral